Molecule: unclassified non-coding RNA, 157 nt
Filed under: uncultured Cistella
Lineage: Eukaryota; Fungi; Ascomycota; Leotiomycetes; Helotiales; Hyaloscyphaceae
Description: sequence contains ITS1
Source: RNAcentral
CAGAGUUCAUGCCCUUACGGGUAGAUCUCCCACCCUUGAAUACAUUACCUCUGUUGCUUUGGCGGGCCGCUUCGUCCACCAGCUUUAGCUGGUGAGUGCCCGCCAAAGGACCUAAAACUCUGAAUUAUAGUGUCGUCUGAGUACUAUAUAAUAGUUA